UGUUACUGGGAUAUCUCAGUCGGUAGAGCGUGAGACUCUUAAUCUCAGGGUCAUGGGUGUGAGCCACAUAUUUGACAA
This is a non-coding RNA of Podarcis lilfordi (Lilford's wall lizard), 78 nucleotides long. NCBI's taxonomy places the organism in Eukaryota, Metazoa, Chordata, Lepidosauria, Squamata, Lacertidae. The record is from the annotation of a GenBank genome assembly.